Pisolithus thermaeus is the source of this 89-nucleotide non-coding RNA. NCBI's taxonomy places the organism in Eukaryota, Fungi, Basidiomycota, Agaricomycetes, Boletales, Pisolithaceae. The record is from the annotation of a GenBank genome assembly.
GGGUGCGUAGCGCAGUGGUAGCGCGUAUGCUUUGCAUUUAAGCAAUUGAAAGUUGUAUAAGGUCCAGGGUUCAAUCCCCUGCGCAUCCA